GUCUGCAGCCAUACACUACCCUGAACACAUCCAAGCUUGUCUGUUCCUGGAGGCCAAGCAGGGUUGGGCCCACUUAGUGCUUGCAUGGUAGUCAGUCCACCCUCAGUUCUGGGAAUAUAAACAGCAGCUUGAUU
Molecule: ribosomal RNA, 134 nt
Filed under: Mus spicilegus (steppe mouse)
Lineage: Eukaryota; Metazoa; Chordata; Mammalia; Rodentia; Muridae
Source: RNAcentral